RNAcentral lists this ribosomal RNA (1386 nucleotides) under metagenome. RNAcentral describes it as "bacterial SSU rRNA". It matches the Rfam family "Bacterial small subunit ribosomal RNA". The record is from RNAcentral.
AGAGUUUGAUCCUGGCUCAGGAUGAACGCUGGCGGCGUGCUUAACACAUGCAAGUCGAACGAACCUUCGGGUUAGUGGCGGACGGGUGAGUAACGCGUGGGAAUCUGCCCUCAGGAGGGGGAUAACGGCUGGAAACGGCCGCUAAUACCCCAUAUGCCGAGAGGUGAAACGAAAUUCGCCUGAGGAUGAGCCCGCGUCUGAUUAGCUAGUUGGUGGGGUAAGAGCUUACCAAGGCGACGAUCAGUAGCUGGUCUGAGAGGAUGAUCGGCCACACUGGGACUGAGACACGGCCCAGACUCCUACGGGAGGCAGCAGUGGGGAAUUUUCCGCAAUGGGCGAAAGCCUGACGGAGCAACGCCGCGUGAGGGAUGAAGGCCUCUGGGCUGUAAACCUCUUUUCUCAAGGAAGAAGACAUGACGGUACUUGAGGAAUAAGCCACGGCUAAUUCCGUGCCAGCAGCCGCGGUAAUACGGGAGUGGCAAGCGUUAUCCGGAAUUAUUGGGCGUAAAGCGUCCGCAGGCGGCCCUGUAAGUCUGUCGUUAAAGCGUGGAGCUUAACUCCAUUUAAGCGAUGGAAACUACAGGGCUUGAGUGUGGUAGGGGCAGAGGGAAUUCCCGGUGUAGCGGUGAAAUGCGUAGAUAUCGGGAAGAACACCAGUGGCGAAGGCGCUCUGCUGGGCCAUAACUGACGCUCAUGGACGAAAGCCAGGGGAGCGAAAGGGAUUAGAUACCCCUGUAGUCCUGGCCGUAAACGAUGAACACUAGGUGUCGGGGGAAUCGACCCCCUCGGUGUCGUAGCCAACGCGUUAAGUGUUCCGCCUGGGGAGUACGCACGCAAGUGUGAAACUCAAAGGAAUUGACGGGGGCCCGCACAAGCGGUGGAGUAUGUGGUUUAAUUCGAUGCAACGCGAAGAACCUUACCAGGGUUUGACAUCCUGCGAAUCCCUUGGAAACGAGGGAGUGCCUUCGGGAGCGCAGAGACAGGUGGUGCAUGGCUGUCGUCAGCUCGUGUCGUGAGAUGUUGGGUUAAGUCCCGCAACGAGCGCAACCCCACGUCUUUAGUUGCCAGCAUUCAGUUGGGCACUCUAGAGAGACCGCCGGUGAUAAACCGGAGGAAGGUGUGGAUGACGUCAAGUCAUCAUGCCCCUUACAUCCUGGGCUACACACGUACUACAAUGCUACGGACAAAGGGCAGCAAGCUCGCGAGAGUUAGCAAAUCCCAUAAACCGUGGCUCAGUUCAGAUCGUAGGCUGCAACUCGCCUACGUGAAGGAGGAAUCGCUAGUAAUCGCAGGUCAGCAUACUGCGGUGAAUACGUUCCCGGGCCUUGUACACACCGCCCGUCACACCAUGGAAGUUGGCCAUGCCCGAAGUCGUUACUCCAACCC